AUUUCAUGUUUCAAAGAGUGGUUUGGGUUGGAAGGGACCUUAAAGAUCACCUAGCUCCAACCCUCCUGCUGUGGGCAAAGACACUUUCCACUAGACCAGGUUUCUUAAAGCCCCCUCCAACCUGGCCUCAAACACUUCAAAGGAUGUGGCAGCCAUAAUUUCUCUGGG
Molecule: long non-coding RNA, 168 nt
Organism: Strigops habroptila (Kakapo)
Lineage: Eukaryota; Metazoa; Chordata; Aves; Psittaciformes; Psittacidae
Exons: 3
Source: RefSeq, a predicted model, not a curated record